GUAGGUGGCAAGCGUUGUCCGGAAUUAUUGGGCGUAAAGCGCGCGCAGGCGGUUCUUUAAGUCUGAUGUGAAAGCCCACGGCUCAACCGUGGAGGGUCAUUGGAAACUGGAGAACUUGAGUACAGAAGAGGAAAGCGGAAUUCCACGUGUAGCGGUGAAAUGCGUAGAGAUGUGGAGGAACACCAGUGGCGAAGGCGGCUUUCUGGUCUGUAACUGACGCUGAGGCGCGAAAGCGUGGGGAGCAAACAGGAUUAGAUACCCUGGUAGUCCACGCCGUAAACGAUGAGUGCUAAGUGUUAGGGGGUUUCCGCCCCCCUUAGUGCUGCAGCUAACGCAUUAAGCACUCCGCCUAGGAGUACGGCCGCAAGGCUG
Molecule: ribosomal RNA, 372 nt
Filed under: uncultured organism
Description: partial 16S ribosomal RNA
Rfam family: Bacterial small subunit ribosomal RNA
Source: RNAcentral